GCUGGGCCUCUUUGCUGAGAUAUUUGUAUCUUCAAUAGUCACAGGGUACAGUCAUCAACGAAAAUGAAGCACUGCAGAUGCUGGAAAUCUGAAACAAAAACUGAAGCUACUAGAGAAACUCAGCAGGUCUGGCAGCAGCCGUGGAGAGAGAAAUGUUUUGGAUCCAGUGACCCUUCCUGUUGGUGUUACAACCCAAUUAGACAGAAUCAAUGGUCGUUGAGUGAGAAAUUGAUGCUGAAGACUUGGAAAAAGAGCACUUUGUAAGGGAGUAAAAUAAUUCAUUUUCCAAAAUCAAUCAAGAUAGCUACACCUCUUCCCUCCCUGACACCACAACCUUCCCAGGAUUAACUUGCUGGGCCAAACUUCACUGACGAGGAUAGAUUGGAGACAUUGGAACAACUCUCCUCAGAGAACAAGGCAGAAACGAGAUAUCAGUGAAGUCUUCAAAAUCCUGAGACAAAAAUCAAAAUUGCUGGAAAAGCUCAGCAGGUCUGGCAGUGUGAAGACACCCUUCCUCAGAACUUGA
Non-coding RNA from Chiloscyllium plagiosum (whitespotted bambooshark), 526 nucleotides. NCBI's taxonomy places the organism in Eukaryota, Metazoa, Chordata, Chondrichthyes, Orectolobiformes, Hemiscylliidae. The record is from RefSeq and is a predicted model, not a curated record.